RNAcentral lists this transfer RNA (61 nucleotides) under Coleoptera sp. 1 KM-2017. RNAcentral's name for it is "tRNA-Cys". The record is from RNAcentral. Lineage: Eukaryota; Metazoa; Arthropoda; Insecta; Coleoptera.
GGCUUUAUAGUCAAUAUUUAUGAUAUUAGACUGCAAUUCUAAAGUAGUUAUACUAAAGCUU